GACGAACGCUGGCGGCGCGCCUAACACAUGCAAGUCGAACGAGAGAUGAGGAGCUUGCUCUUCAAAUCGAGUGGCGAACGGGUGAGUAACGCGUGAGGAACCUGCCUCAAAGAGGGGGACAACAGUUGGAAACGACUGCUAAUACCGCAUAAGCCCACGGCUCGGCAUCGAGCAGAGGGAAAAGGAGCAAUCCGCUUUGAGAUGGCCUCGCGUCCGAUUAGCUAGUUGGUGAGGUAACGGCCCACCAAGGCGACGAUCGGUAGCCGGACUGAGAGGUUGAACGGCCACAUUGGGACUGAGACACGGCCCAGACUCCUACGGGAGGCAGCAGUGGGGAAUAUUGCACAAUGGGGGAAACCCUGAUGCAGCGACGCCGCGUGGAGGAAGAAGGUCUUCGGAUUGUAAACUCCUGUUGUUGAGGAAGAUAAUGACGGUACUCAACAAGGAAGUGACGGCUAACUACGUGCCAGCAGCCGCGGUAAAACGUAGGUCACAAGCGUUGUCCGGAAUUACUGGGUGUAAAGGGAGCGCAGGCGGGAGAACAAGUUGGAAGUGAAAUCCAUGGGCUCAACCCAUGAACUGCUUUCAAAACUGUUUUUCUUGAGUAGUGCAGAGGUAGGCGGAAUUCCCGGUGUAGCGGUGGAAUGCGUAGAUAUCGGGAGGAACACCAGUGGCGAAGGCGGCCUACUGGGCACCAACUGACGCUGAGGCUCGAAAGUGUGGGUAGCAAACAGGAUUAGAUACCCUGGUAGUCCACACCGUAAA
Molecule: ribosomal RNA, 765 nt
Filed under: uncultured bacterium
Lineage: Bacteria
Description: bacterial SSU rRNA
Rfam family: Bacterial small subunit ribosomal RNA
Source: RNAcentral